CUCAUGCCUGCUCCCCUCCCACAGCUGGGGAGGGAACCUAGCUGACUCCCAGCCUCCCCUCCCAUUCUAAACACUAGCCCCAGUGACAAUCCCUCCUCCCUGAAGUGUCACCCAAGCCCCCAACUGCUGCAGCAACCAAUGGGGGACACAUGCAAGGGGAGCAAGAGAGCAUGAAGACUGGCUCCCCCCCCACCCCCCAAAUUUAUUAACUGUGCCCCUGGAGGUUUGUUACUGCAGGGCUCCCAGCCCGCUUGUGGGCAGGGGCUUUGUGCUGAUUGGCUUGUUAUGGUAGGGUUGCUGGAUGGUUUGUUAUGGUAGGGGGUUGCUGGCCAGGUCAGGGGGUGCAGGUCGGUUUGUUAUGGUAGGGUUGCUGGCCAGGUCGGGGGGUGCAGGUCGGUUUGUUAUGGUAGGGUUGCUGGCCAGGUCGGGGGGUGCAGGUCAUUUUGUUAUGGUAGGAUCGCUGGAUGGUUCGUUAUAAUAGGGUUGCUGGCCAGGUUGGGGGGUGCAGGUUGGUUUAUGUUAGGGUUGCCGGCCAGGUCAGGGGGUGCAGGUCGGUUUGGCCGGCCAGGUCAGGGGGUGCAGGUCGGUUUGUUAUGGUAGGGUUGCCGGCCAGGUUGGGAGGUGCAGAUUGGUUUGUUAUGGUAGGGUUGCAGGCCAGGUCGGGGGGGUGCAGGUUGGUUUGUUAUGGUAGGGUUGCUGGCCAGGUCAGGGGGUGAAGGUCAGUUUGUUAUGUUAGGGUUGCUGGCCAGGUCGGGGGGUACAGGUCCAUUUGUAAUGGUAGGGUUGCUGGAUGGUUUGUUAUGGUAGGGUUGCUGGCCAGGUGCGGGGUGCAGGUCGGUUUGUAAUGUUAGGGUUGCCGGCCAGGUUGGGGGGUGCAGGUCGGUUUGUUAUGGUAGGGUUGCUGGAUGGUUUGUUAUGGUAGGGUUGCCAGCCAGGUAGGGGGUUGCAGGUCGGUUUGUUAUGGUAGCGUUGCUCGCCAGGUCGGGAGGUGCAGGUUGGUUUAUGUUAGGGUUGCCAGCCAGGUCAGGGGGUGCAGGUCGGUUUGUUAUGGUAGGGUUGCUGGAUGGUUUGCUUUGGUAGGGUUACUGGCCAGCUUGGACAGAGGAUUUCAAGGAAGUUUGCUAGGGUGAGGUUGCAGGACAUUGUGUGGAAGGCAUGGGGGCAGCAUGGUGGGUGCGGUGGGAUCAAUCCAGCGGUGCUGGUGUGGGCUCCACGCUCUGGGGCUGCAGUGCUUAGGGCCAGCA
This is a long non-coding RNA of Gopherus flavomarginatus (Mexican gopher tortoise), 1244 nucleotides long. RefSeq lists it as uncharacterized. The transcript is spliced from 6 exons. The record is from RefSeq and is a predicted model, not a curated record. NCBI's taxonomy places the organism in Eukaryota, Metazoa, Chordata, Testudines, Testudinidae.